GAUCCUGGCUCAGAACGAACGCUGGCGGCAUGCCUAACACAUGCAAGUCGAACGAGAUCUUCGGGUCUAGUGGCGCACGGGUGCGUAACGCGUGGGAAUCUGCCCUUUGGUUCGGAAUAACAGUUGGAAACGACUGCUAAUACCGGAUGAUGACGAAAGUCCAAAGAUUUAUCGCCAGAGGAUGAGCCCGCGUAGGAUUAGCUAGUUGGUGUGGUAAAGGCGCACCAAGGCGACGAUCCUUAG
Molecule: ribosomal RNA, 243 nt
Filed under: uncultured bacterium
Lineage: Bacteria
Description: partial 16S ribosomal RNA
Rfam family: Bacterial small subunit ribosomal RNA
Source: RNAcentral